This 484-nucleotide ribosomal RNA is filed under the name uncultured bacterium. RNAcentral describes it as "partial 16S ribosomal RNA". It matches the Rfam family "Bacterial small subunit ribosomal RNA", at positions 30 to 507 of the family's 1533-position model. The record is from RNAcentral.
AUUGAACGCUGGCGGCAGGCCUAACACAUGCAAGUCGAGCGGAUGAAGGGUGCUUGCUCCUGGAUUCAGCGGCGGACGGGUGAGUAAUGCCUAGGAAUCUGCCUGGUAGUGGGGGAUAACGUCCGGAAACGGGCGCUAAUACCGCAUACGUCCUGAGGGAGGUAGUGGGGGAUCUUCGGACCUCACGCUAUCAGAUGAGCCUAGGUCGGAUUAGAUAGUUGGUGGGGUAAAGGCCUACCAAGGCGACGAUCCGUAACUGGUCUGAGAGGAUGAUCAGUCACACUAGAACUGAGACGCGGUCCAGACUACUACGGGAGGCAGCAGUGGGGAAUAUUGGACAAUGGGCGAAAGCAUGGUCCAGCCAUGCCGAGUGUGUGAAGAAGGUCUUCGGAUUGUAAAGCACUUUAAGUUGGGGGAAAGGGCAGUAAGUUGAUACCUUGCUGUUUUGACGUUACCAACAGAAGAAGCACCGGCUAACUUCGUG